CCUACGGGAGGCAGCAGUGGGGAAUAUUGGACAAUGGGCGCAAGCCUGAUCCAGCAAUGCCGCGUGUGUGAAGAAGGUUUUCGGAUUGUAAAGCACUUUCGGCGGGGACGAUGAUGACGGUACCCGCAGAAGAAGCCCCGGCUAACUUCGUGCCAGCAGCCGCGGUAAUACGAAGGGGGCUAGCGUUGCUCGGAAUGACUGGGCGUAAAGGGCGCGUAGGCGGAUGGUACAGUCAGACGUGAAAUUCCUGGGCUCAACCUGGGGACUGCGUUUGAGACGUGUUGUCUAGAGUGAGGAAGAGGGUUGUGGAAUUCCCAGUGUAGAGGUGAAAUUCGUAGAUAUUGGGAAGAACACCGGUGGCGAAGGCGGCAACCUGGUCCUUUACUGACGCUGAGGCGCGAAAGCGUGGGGAGCAAACAGGAUUAGAUACCCUGGUAGUCCACGCUGUAAACGAUGUGUGCUGGAUGUUGGGUAACUUAGUUACUCAGUGUCGUAGCUAACGCGAUAAGCACACCGCCUGGGGAUACGGCCGCAAGGUUGAAACUCAAAGGAAUUGACGG
Molecule: ribosomal RNA, 560 nt
Filed under: uncultured bacterium
Lineage: Bacteria
Description: bacterial SSU rRNA
Rfam family: Bacterial small subunit ribosomal RNA
Source: RNAcentral